Molecule: ribosomal RNA, 301 nt
Filed under: uncultured bacterium
Lineage: Bacteria
Description: partial 16S ribosomal RNA
Rfam family: Bacterial small subunit ribosomal RNA
Source: RNAcentral
CAGUAGCCACGGAAAUACGUAGGUGGCAAGCGUUGUCCGGAAUCAUUGGGCGUAAAGCGCGCGCAGGCGGAUAGGUCAGUCUGUCUUAAAAGUUCGGGGCUUAACCCCGUGAUGGGAUGGAAACUGCCAAUCUAGAGUAUCGGAGAGGAAAGUGGAAUUCCUAGUGUAGCGGUGAAAUGCGUAGAUAUUAGGAAGAACACCAGUGGCGAAGGCGACUUUCUGGACGAAAACUGACGCUGAGGCGCGAAAGCCAGGGGAGCGAACGGGAUUAGAUACCCCUGUAGUCCCUGUCUCUUAUACC